UGGCGGCAGGCCUAACACAUGCAAGUCGAGCGCGCCUUCGGGUGAGCGGCGGACGGGUUAGUAACGCGUGGGAACGUGCCCUUCUCUACGGAAUAGCCUCUGGAAACGGAGAGUAAUACCGUAUACGCCCUUUGGGGGAAAGAUUUAUCGGAGAAGGAUCGGCCCGCGUUAGAUUAGGUAGUUGGUGGGGUAACGGCCUACCAAGCCUACGAUCUAUAGCUGGUUUUAGAGGAUGAUCAGCAACACUGGGACUGAGACACGGCCCAGACUCCUACGGGAGGCAGCAGUGGGGAAUCUUAGACAAUGGGGGCAACCCUGAUCUAGCCAUGCCGCGUGAGUGAUGAAGGCCUUAGGGUCGUAAAGCUCUUUCGCCUGUGAUGAUAAUGACAGUAGCAGGUAAAGAAACCCCGGCUAACUCCGUGCCAGCAGCCGCGGUAAUACGGAGGGGGUUAGCGUUGUUCGGAAUUACUGGGCGUAAAGCGCGCGUA
Molecule: ribosomal RNA, 488 nt
Filed under: uncultured Leisingera sp.
Lineage: Bacteria; Pseudomonadati; Pseudomonadota; Alphaproteobacteria; Rhodobacterales; Roseobacteraceae
Description: bacterial SSU rRNA
Rfam family: Bacterial small subunit ribosomal RNA
Source: RNAcentral